GCGCACGUAGUUUAGUGGUAGAAUGAGCGCUUCCCAAGCACUUAGCCGGAGUUCGAUUCUCCGCGUGCGCA
This 71-nucleotide transfer RNA is filed under the name archaeon. Its description in RNAcentral is "tRNA-Gly". It matches the Rfam family "tRNA". Rfam says of the family: Transfer RNA (tRNA) molecules are approximately 80 nucleotides in length. Their secondary structure includes four short double-helical elements and three loops (D, anti-codon, and T loops). Further hydrogen bonds mediate the characteristic L-shaped molecular structure. tRNAs have two regions of fundamental functional importance: the anti-codon, which is responsible for specific mRNA codon recognition, and the 3' end, to which the tRNAs corresponding amino acid is attached (by aminoacyl-tRNA synthetases). tRNAs cope with the degeneracy of the genetic code in two manners: having more than one tRNA (with a specific anti-codon) for a particular amino acid; and 'wobble' base-pairing, i.e. permitting non-standard base-pairing at the 3rd anti-codon position. The record is from RNAcentral.